ACGCUCGACACCUACGGGGGCAGCAGUGGGGGAUAUUGCACAAUGGGGGAAACCCUGAUGCAGCGACGCCGCGUGAGUGAAGAAGUAUUUCGGUAUGUAAAGCUCUAUCAGCAGGGAAGAGAAUGACGGUACCUGAGUAAGAAGCCCCGGCUAACUACGUGCCAGCAGCCGCGGUAAUCUGAGGCGGGCUGGCAAGGC
RNAcentral lists this ribosomal RNA (198 nucleotides) under uncultured bacterium. RNAcentral describes it as "partial 16S ribosomal RNA". It matches the Rfam family "Bacterial small subunit ribosomal RNA", at positions 328 to 539 of the family's 1533-position model. The record is from RNAcentral.